Molecule: ribosomal RNA, 460 nt
Filed under: uncultured bacterium
Lineage: Bacteria
Description: partial 16S ribosomal RNA
Rfam family: Bacterial small subunit ribosomal RNA
Source: RNAcentral
CCUACGGGUGGCAGCAGUGAGGAAUAUUGGUCAAUGGGCGCGAGCCUGAACCAGCCAAGUCGCGUGAGGGAGGACGGCCCUACGGGUUGUAAACCCCUUUUGCCGGGGAGCAACGGGCGUCACGUGUGUCGCCACAGAGAGUACCCGGAUAAAAAGCAUCGGCUAACUCCGUGCCAGCAGCCGCGGUAAUACGUGGGAUGCGAGCGUUAUCCGGAUUUAUUGGGUUAAAAGGGUGCGUAGGCGGAUCGUUAAGUCAGUGGUAAAAUUGAGGGGCUAAACCCCUUGCGGCCAUUGAAACUGGUGUUCUUGAGUGGAAGAGAAGUGUGCGGAAUGCGUGGUGUAGCGGUGAAAUGCGUAGAUAUCAGGCAGAACCCCGGUUGCGAAGGCGGCAUGCCGGCUUCCGACUGACGCUGAAGCACAAAAGCGUGGGGAUCGAACAGGAUUAGAUACCCCUGUAGUC